GGGGAGCCCGAGCCACAGCCAGAUGACCCUCAAAAGUUUACAACUAUCUGUGGUUCACAGUUACAGGUCUGUUUCUAUAGAUGAAUGUUGGAUGGUGUCCUCAGCCCCUGCUAUCCUGAUUGGGAGAGUAUUCUACAUAUGUCAGCAAC
Long non-coding RNA from Mauremys reevesii (Reeves's turtle), 149 nucleotides. RefSeq lists it as uncharacterized. The record is from RefSeq and is a predicted model, not a curated record. NCBI's taxonomy places the organism in Eukaryota, Metazoa, Chordata, Testudines, Geoemydidae. The transcript is spliced from 3 exons.